Long non-coding RNA from Vespula pensylvanica (western yellowjacket), 2887 nucleotides. RefSeq lists it as uncharacterized. NCBI's taxonomy places the organism in Eukaryota, Metazoa, Arthropoda, Insecta, Hymenoptera, Vespidae. The record is from RefSeq and is a predicted model, not a curated record. The transcript is spliced from 3 exons.
GAGAUCCGAAUCGUAGAAGGGUGUUAUAUAGUGAAGCGAGGAUAGGGAUCUUGAAUAUUGUAUGAAUGGCCAAUUCUCAGUACGUCCGAAUCAGUAAAUUCUUCACGUUUGGUCUGCCAAUGACCAAUGACCAUCCAGACGUUCACAUCAUCCUCGAAGGCCCGAUGCAAAUGGUCCGAACGUUCGAUGAUGCGGUGUCUUAAGUUCGACGAGAGUACGACCUUGACAGGAGCGAGUCGACUCCCUGCAUUUAAGGAUUAUACUUCGAUCUUUUGGGCACGAUUUUUCAAAGCACGAAGCCACCGACGAAGAUUCACCGAUUACGAAAUCGGAAACGAUGUGAACAUAAAAAGAGGGAUGAGUAUCCACAAAAUAACAAACCUAAAGGUGCGGCGAUGAACGCUCUAAUCUUUCACUUUGAUCGCACGCGCAAGAAGGUGAACAGCCUGAUUAUGUCGUUGGUGUUUAACGAUUCUAAAUGCAUUUUACUUUGGCCACCGAAGAGAAAUACAAAGAGAAUUCAGAGGUAUACGAUUACGACGCUGGCUAACCACGUUGUAAGUACAAGUUACUUAUACAUUUUUCUUUUAUUUCCGUCGGUAAAACAGAGUAAAGAUUUUUUUCUUUUCCGUUUUCUUUUUCUUAGGGAGAAUAAAAUAGAAACUUGUAAACAAUAAUUAAAUAUUUAUUAUAAAUAUCCUUUUAGUAGUUUAAAGGUUGUCGAAACGAAUUGCAUUCGUUUCUGUUGUAAUAUGAUAACAAAUAUAUAAUAAUAUGAUCAAAUAUAUAUCUAGCAAGGUAUAUUGUUGUUAAUUGAAACAAAAAACAAAAAAAAGGAAGGAUGUAAGAGAUGUAUAUGUUUAAAUGAUAAAAAGUGAAAAUAUGACGGCGUCAGGGCAGGUACGCAUGAGUAACUUUGGUAUGACUGAAGGUUCAUUUAAUGACGAAAAGGGGGAUAUGAAAAAGAGAAAGAGAGAGAGAGAGAGAGAGAGAAAGAAAAUAAGAAAAAGGAAAAAAUGAAAUCGAUUGGAACGAUACAUUGUUAAUAAGUUAAAUAAAUAAAUAAUUUUAACAUAAAUAGAUAUAGAAUAUACGAUUUAUCUAGUUUUCAUUGAACUUGACUUAUCUCAAAUUGUCCAACGAACUUGCAAGAAAACAAGAAAAAAGAAAGAGAGAGAGAGAGACAGAGAGAGAAAGAGAGAAAGAGCGAGCGAGAGAGCGAGCUAAUUAAAUCACGAAAUCAUAAGAGAUUUCAAUGAUCUUUGUCAUUUUCAGUUUUACCUAUCGAAAAUGAAGGAAAAAAGAUUAUAUAAAAGGACUAUUGCAAAAUCAAUAUAGACGGAAGGAUUAUCGAUCCCUUAUUUUUUGAGAUUGCCUCGUUUAUCGUCCUUUCUUCGUUAUUAUCGUCGAUAAAUUACUCUUGAGGAACGUACGAGCUAUAAACGAUAUCCUGAGGCGAAUCGUUUGAAGAUCUUCCCCAAUAACCACCAUGAUGAUCGUCCUCGUGAUCGUAAUGAUGUUGAUGUUGAGCGUGUUCGUAAUAGAUCACUUUAGAUGGCUGAUGAUUCUUUUUAAGAUCGAUCCAGAAUUUGGUUGCGUUCAUGAUGAAGCUUACAACAGCGAUUACGAAGAGCUUUAUUUGCAAAUGCGUUGAGAUAAUUUGCAGGAGUAAUGCGAGCUUGGCCUUGAACAUCAUUGCUAAGGCCAUCAGCUUUUGCAUAUGCUUCUUCUUCUUCUUUCCAUAUUUCUUUCUACGUGCUUCUUCUGAAAAAGCGACAGAUAAUGAUAGUUUUUAAUCUCAUCGAUGUCAAUGAUGAUGAAUCGAUUUAAAUUUAUAUUCAUAUACGAACAUAUAUUUUUCUCGUUUCACAAAUGACCUAAUUUCAAAGAACAAACGAUCGAAUAUAUCCUAUAUCAGAAUUUAUAAAACCGAUGAAUUAAUCGAGUUUCUAAGCAUCGAUGUUAGGAGAUUGAUAUCAGUAUAUUCGUCAUUAACUUUAUAAUGUAUUAAAAAGCAACACGGUGUUUUACCGAACGCACGGUCAAAGCACAAUAAAAUGAUUCAAAGAUCCUUUUAAUGUAUUGAGGAUGAACAAACAUAUAAAACAACCAAGUUCGGCUUUUAAAAUACUUGUUAUUUCUUUUUUCUGUAUCAUACCAAUUUUUUAUUUUCGUUUCCAUUUGGUUAUCGUUAAUUAAUUCACUGUUACCUUCCAUCAUCAUUAUGAAAGAGAAAAGAUUUAAUACUUUUCGCAGUCAUAAACUUUUCGAAACCGUUAUUAAAUUUAACAUUGAUUGGAUCAUCAACUUCAUUAAUUAAAAAAAAAUAGGACGAAUGAGACAAAAUAUGAUUAAUGUUAAUAUAUUAAGAAUAUUUAAGAAUUAUUGAAGUACGUAGAAGAAGAUUUUAAGAAUUAUUGAAAUGUGUCAAAGAAGAUUUUAAGAAUUAUUGAAAUAUGUCAAAGAAGAUUUUAAGAAUUAUUGAAGUAUAUAGAAGAUUUAUAUAUUUUUUGUCGAAUAAAAAUAUUUAAAAACGAUGGCAAAUAAGAUGAGCGAAGGAUACGAACGUAAUGUGACGAAUAUUCUCCUCGACCGCGAUUUAACUAUAAUAAAAUCUGUACGUUAAGCUGCACGGGAAAAGGGCUUGAGUAAACUGACCUCAAAACCUUCACCUGGACCAUGUUUAAUUCGUCUUACAAGUCACGUACAUUUUUAUAGUGAUUAUCUUUCAUGUAUUCUUUGAAAACUGUAUUUCUGAAAAUAAACUCGUUCAAUAUCGUACAAAUCACGCAUAAUUAAACGGUAAUCUAUUCACGAUCUUUCUAUUUCGUUGAUUAGAAUUUUCUACGUUAAUUCAACUUUUUUCUCAUUUGCAUUAAUCCGGAAA